Molecule: long non-coding RNA, 207 nt
Filed under: Mytilus galloprovincialis (Mediterranean mussel)
Lineage: Eukaryota; Metazoa; Mollusca; Bivalvia; Mytilida; Mytilidae
Source: RNAcentral
UGUGUAUUAAAAACCUGUGUAUGCUGCCUUGAGUAUUCAUUUAUCUAAAUGCAGAUUAAGCAGUUAUAAGAAUAAUAUUGGCUCCAAUAGUGUUUUAGCUAAAAACUUGCCUCCCACCGACCCCUCCUUUCACCUUCAAUAUUACUAUGACAGGGGAAUCAAUCUCAGCACGGUUUAUAGAUUUCAUUUAUGAAAUUUUAUCACUGG